This 369-nucleotide ribosomal RNA is filed under the name Metridium senile (brown sea anemone). RNAcentral describes it as "partial large subunit ribosomal RNA". It matches the Rfam family "Bacterial large subunit ribosomal RNA", at positions 1998 to 2421 of the family's 2925-position model. The record is from RNAcentral. Lineage: Eukaryota; Metazoa; Cnidaria; Anthozoa; Actiniaria; Metridiidae.
GGCAUCACGAAGGCCCCACUGUCUUAAGAGGACUCUCCAUGAAAUUGAAAUCGUAGUGAAGAUGCUACGUCCAUAUUGUAAGACGAAAAGACCCCAUUGAGCUUUACUAAAGACUUGUAUGGCUCGAAAUAACUUAAAUAAAAAGUUUAGAUAAUGUGGGAUCCGUUUUGGUUAAUGAAACACCACUCUUUUAUUUUAAGAGAGCUAACCUUGUAGGGAGAAUGCAAGUUGGAUAGUUUGGUUGGGGCGACCACCUUUUAAAAGGUAACGAAGGUGAGCUUAAGGUCCGUAGUUAAUAGCUAGUGGCCUGACUGCAAGGGGGACAUCCCGAGCAGACACUGGUAAUCUCUCAGUGGGUUAUAGUGACCC